AACCUGCAGUGUGAAGAGAAACCACAAGACUACAAAAGAGCUCCUAAAGUUUACAAACCUUGCACGCACAAUAAUAGAAGUUGAAAAAGAGGAUGCCAGAAUCGGAAGCCAUAAUUAUUUCUGUUGAUCUUCCUUUCCAAAAGCUAUAUUAAUUCUAUUUCUUUACACCUCCAAUUUAUUACACUAGGCAUCUCCAAUAAGUAGAAAAGGGGACAGGGAGAAGGCGUGAUGUUUGUAUAUGUGUGU
RNAcentral lists this unclassified non-coding RNA (246 nucleotides) under Hevea brasiliensis (rubber tree). Lineage: Eukaryota; Viridiplantae; Streptophyta; Magnoliopsida; Malpighiales; Euphorbiaceae. The record is from RNAcentral.